AGCAGCCGCGGUAAUUCCAGCUCCAAUAGCGUAUAUUAAAGUUGUUGCAGUUAAAAAGCUCGUAGUUGAAUUUCGGGAUCAAUUCGUCGGUCGUGCUUUUUGGUACGUACUGGUGUUAUUGGUUUCUCCCUUCUGACGAACCAUGAUGUCAUUAAUUUGGUGUUAUGGGGAGUUAGGACUGUUACUUUGAAAAAUUAGAGUGUUUAAAGCAGGCAUUAGCUUGAAUACAUUAGCAUGGAAUAAUGAAAUAGGACGUUCGAUCCUAUUUUGUUGGUUUCUAGGAUCAACGUAAUGAUUAAUAGGGAUAGUUGGGGGCAUUAGUAUUCAAUUGUCAGAGGUGAAAUUCUUGGAUUUAUUGAAGACUAACUACUGCGAAAGCAUUUGCCAAGGAUGUUUUCAUUAAUCAAGAACGAAAGUUAGGGGAUCGAAGACGAUCAGAUACCGUCGUAG
Molecule: ribosomal RNA, 450 nt
Filed under: uncultured Glomus
Lineage: Eukaryota; Fungi; Glomeromycota; Glomeromycetes; Glomerales; Glomeraceae
Description: SSU rRNA
Rfam family: Eukaryotic small subunit ribosomal RNA
Source: RNAcentral